CCUACGGGAGACUGCAGUGGGGAAUAUUGGGCAAUGGGCGCAAGCCUGACCCAGCAACGCCGCGUGAAGGAAGAAGGCUUUCGGGUUGUAAACCUCUUUUCUCAGGGACGAAGCAAGUGACGGUACCUGAGGAAUAAGCCACUGCUAACUACGCGCCAGCAGCCGCGGUAAUACGUAGGCGGCAAGCGUUAUCAGGAUUUACUGGGUGUAAAGGGCGUGUAGGCGGGACUGCAAGUCAGAUGUGAAAACCACGGGCUCAACCUGUGGCCUGCAUUUGAAACUGUAGUUCUUGAGUACUGGAGAGGCAGACGGAAUUCCUAGUGUAGCGGUGAAAUGCGUAGAUAUUAGGAGGAACACCAGUGGCGAAGGCGGUCUGCUGGACAGCAACUGACGCUGAGGCGCGAAAGCGUGGGGAGCAAACAGGAUUAGAUACCCUUGUAGUC
RNAcentral lists this ribosomal RNA (443 nucleotides) under uncultured bacterium. Its description in RNAcentral is "partial 16S ribosomal RNA". It matches the Rfam family "Bacterial small subunit ribosomal RNA", at positions 338 to 795 of the family's 1533-position model. The record is from RNAcentral.